Molecule: transfer RNA, 73 nt
Filed under: Spirochaetota bacterium
Lineage: Bacteria; Pseudomonadati; Spirochaetota
Description: Spirochaetes bacterium (anaerobic digester metagenome) tRNA-Thr
Rfam family: tRNA
About the family: Transfer RNA (tRNA) molecules are approximately 80 nucleotides in length.
Source: RNAcentral
GCCCACGUAGCUCAAUAGGUAGAGCAUUUGCAUGGUAAGCAAAAGGUAACCAGUUCGAUUCUGGUCGUGGGCU